Molecule: transfer RNA, 73 nt
Filed under: Paramuricea clavata
Lineage: Eukaryota; Metazoa; Cnidaria; Anthozoa; Malacalcyonacea; Plexauridae
Rfam family: tRNA
About the family: Transfer RNA (tRNA) molecules are approximately 80 nucleotides in length. Their secondary structure includes four short double-helical elements and three loops (D, anti-codon, and T loops). Further hydrogen bonds mediate the characteristic L-shaped molecular structure. tRNAs have two regions of fundamental functional importance: the anti-codon, which is responsible for specific mRNA codon recognition, and the 3' end, to which the tRNAs corresponding amino acid is attached (by aminoacyl-tRNA synthetases). tRNAs cope with the degeneracy of the genetic code in two manners: having more than one tRNA (with a specific anti-codon) for a particular amino acid; and 'wobble' base-pairing, i.e. permitting non-standard base-pairing at the 3rd anti-codon position.
Source: Rfam by way of RNAcentral
UCUCUUGUAGCUCAGUUGGUUAGGGCGCUGCACCGGAAUCGCAGGGCCGUAGGUUCAAUUCCUACCAGAGGAC